UACGUAGGCGGAUUCGCAGGCAUCUUGUGAAAUCCCUCCGCUCAACGGAGGAACUGCAGGGUGAACCGCGAGUCUUGAGACAGGUAGGGGCUGUCGGAACGCUAGGUGGAGUGGUGAAAUGCGUUGAUAUCUAGCGGAACGCCGAAGGAGAAAUCAGGCAGCAGGGCCUGUUCUGACGCUGAUGUACGAAAGCGUGGGGAGCGAACAGGAUUAGAUACCCUGGUAGUCC
RNAcentral lists this ribosomal RNA (229 nucleotides) under uncultured bacterium. Its description in RNAcentral is "partial 16S ribosomal RNA". It matches the Rfam family "Bacterial small subunit ribosomal RNA", at positions 568 to 796 of the family's 1533-position model. The record is from RNAcentral.